This 329-nucleotide unclassified non-coding RNA is filed under the name soil metagenome. Its description in RNAcentral is "partial contains 5.8S ribosomal RNA, internal transcribed spacer 2, and large subunit ribosomal RNA". The stretch from base 1 to 120 matches the Rfam family "5.8S ribosomal RNA", at positions 35 to 154 of the family's 154-position model. The record is from RNAcentral.
GAUGAAGAACGCAGCGAAAUGCGAUAAGUAGUGUGAAUUGCAGAAUUCAGUGAAUCAUCGAAUCUUUGAACGCACAUUGCGCCCCUUGGUAUCCCGAGGGGCAUGCCUGUUCGAGCGUCAUUUCACCACUCAAGCCUGGCUUGGUGUUGGUCGACGUCCUCUUUGGGGACGCGCCUCGAAACGCUCGGCGGCGUGGCACCGGCUUUAAGCGUAGCAGAAUCUUUCGCUUUGGAAGUCGGGGCCCCGUCUGCCGGAAGACCUGCUCGCAAGGUUGACCUCGGAUCAGGCAGGGAUACCCGCUGAACUUAAGCAUAUCAAUAAGCGGAGGA